Molecule: ribosomal RNA, 223 nt
Filed under: uncultured bacterium
Lineage: Bacteria
Description: partial 16S ribosomal RNA
Rfam family: Bacterial small subunit ribosomal RNA
Source: RNAcentral
UGGAUCAUCUACCUUCAGGUGGGGGAUAACCCGGGGAAACUCGGGCUAAUACCGCAUAACAUCGCGAGAUCAAAGGGGCGCAAGUCCCGCCAGAAGAGGAGUCCGCGUUCGAUUAGCUAGUUGGUAGGGUAAUGGCCUACCAAGGCCACGAUCGAUAGCCGGCCUGAGAGGGUGAUUGGCCACACUGGAACUGAGACACGGUCCAGACUCCUACGGGAGGCAG